Molecule: ribosomal RNA, 433 nt
Filed under: uncultured bacterium
Lineage: Bacteria
Description: partial 16S ribosomal RNA
Rfam family: Bacterial small subunit ribosomal RNA
Source: RNAcentral
AAUGAACGCUGGCGGCAUGCCUAACACAUGCAAGUCGAACGAGCGCUCCGGGACUAGUGGCGCAUGGGUGUGUAACGCGUGGGAACCUGCCCUUAGGUUCGGAAUAACUCUCAGAAAGGGGUGCUAAUACCGGAUAAUGUCUUCGGACCAAAGAUUUAUCGAACUUGGUUGGGCGCGCGUUGGAUUAGCUGGUUGGUAGGGUAAAAGCCUACCAAGGCGACGAUCAAUAGCUGGUCAGAGAGGAUGGUCAGCCACACUGGGGGUAGGACGCGGCCGGGACUCCUACGGGAGGGAGCAGAGGGUGAUAUUGGAAAAUGGGCGGAAGCCUGAAGCAGCAAUGCCGCUUAAGUGAUGUAGGCCUUAGAGUUGUAAAGCUCUUUUACCCGGGAUGAUAAUGACGGUACCGAAAGAAUAAGCUCCGGCUAACUCCGUG